CAAAGACAGAUGAAAAACCAUUCAACUGAUACAGAACUCUGGACUUAGGAAGAUCACAGGGAAACUGUCACAAGUAUUGAAAUUGGAGGUUAAUAUAGGCACGGUCUCAAUAUUCACGUAUUAAAACUAGGUCACAGAGAAUGACUUGAUUAAGAUGACAGUCACCGGUGCAAUGAGGAGUAGAAUCAGUUGCAGUUUCACACCUGUCAGAAUUUCAGAAAAGUAGAAGGUACCAGUCAUGUCAUGUCAGAAGAGCUCCCCUUCCUCCUCC
Long non-coding RNA from Homo sapiens (human), 271 nucleotides. RefSeq lists it as uncharacterized. The transcript is spliced from 3 exons. The record is from RefSeq and is a predicted model, not a curated record. Lineage: Eukaryota; Metazoa; Chordata; Mammalia; Primates; Hominidae.